GAAAUGCCAUUGUAGGCAAUCCUGUUGGCUCAAGUUCAGGUGGCUUCACUCAUGCCAACUCUCCCAGUUUGGGAGUUAACCUGCCUUCAGCACACACACAACAGCCUGCUUUGGUAUCUACAUCGAUGUUUUUGCACCCGAGCUCUGAUAGGGUAGAUCUGACCUCUGUUCAAUCUCAUUUUCCUUUUGGGAUGGUAACUCCGGAUGUCUUACGGAAUGGACCCCAGCAGAUGGAGAGCUCACAAGGUGUAGUAACAGAUGAGUUCCCA
Molecule: unclassified non-coding RNA, 269 nt
Filed under: Hevea brasiliensis (rubber tree)
Lineage: Eukaryota; Viridiplantae; Streptophyta; Magnoliopsida; Malpighiales; Euphorbiaceae
Source: RNAcentral